UUUAUAAUUUUUUGAAAAUAAUACAAAUAGUAAACCUAUACAAAUUUCGCAUAUCCUAUUUAGUAAUCUGUGGUAGUAUCUGUUUCCCUAACUUGACAUUGGCGUCAUUGGCGAAUGGCUGAACAGCCAAGCCAGUUAAAAAAAAAAAAACUGUGGUAAUCUGUGGCAUCACAUCCAUAACCGCUUUCUAAGUUUUUGAUAAAGUUUGUUUUGUUAUAAAGACUAAGAAGUUUUUUGUUUGUUAAUUACGGUUUUAACAAUGCCACCAACCAGACGUACAAAUUUAGGCCGCAGAACUCAAAAUACGGCAAGUCAAAGAAAUCUACGAGCAAAUCAAACUGAUGAGCAACGCGAAGCGCGAAA
This is a long non-coding RNA of Trichoplusia ni (cabbage looper), 363 nucleotides long. RefSeq lists it as uncharacterized. The transcript is spliced from 2 exons. NCBI's taxonomy places the organism in Eukaryota, Metazoa, Arthropoda, Insecta, Lepidoptera, Noctuidae. The record is from RefSeq and is a predicted model, not a curated record.